Molecule: long non-coding RNA, 522 nt
Organism: Dipodomys spectabilis (banner-tailed kangaroo rat)
Lineage: Eukaryota; Metazoa; Chordata; Mammalia; Rodentia; Heteromyidae
Exons: 3
Source: RefSeq, a predicted model, not a curated record
AUUCAUCUCAAACCAUCCCUCCAUCCUCACCUCUCACUCCUAGUUUCUAUUCCAGGCCAGAAAUAGGAUAAAAGCCAAAAGAUCAAGACAAGACGGGGUAAACUGGAGCAAAGAAGACAAAUCCAGCUGGAGCCCAGAGGCCUCUGCUUCACUGCUCAGGAGCAACUUGAUUUCUGUUUUGUCCCUCCGACUACGGAGCUCUGGGUCACUGGGCUGAACCACUUAAUGCACCUCACGCCUGGGUCCUCUUGGAAAUGGCUGAAGGCACUUAAAUAGAACUCCCAACCUUUGUCCUCAGCUCUGAAACCACAGGUAAUUCAUGGAUGAACACUUGGUGCACAUAGAAUCUGUACACUCUUCUAUCUGACAUAUGCCACACUGGAUGGAAAUGCUGUAUUUUGCAUGGCUGCUCCCCUAAAGAGACUGGAAACUCCUGGUAAUCAGGAAUGGACUUCAUCAUGGACAUCCCAGGUUUGAGCAGUGGCCGAGUCAAACACUUCUCUGCUGUUUUGAAUCUUUGGA